CAGUCGCCACGGUAAUACGUAGGGUCCGAGCGUUGUCCGGAAUUAUUGGGCGUAAAGCGCACGUAGGCGGCUCCGCAAGUCGGAUGUGAAAUCCCUCGGCUUAACCAAGGAAGUGCAUCCGAAACUGCAGAGCUUGAGUACUUAAGAGGAUCGCGGAAUUCCCGGUGUAGAGGUGAAAUUCGUAGAUAUCGGGAGGAACACCAGUGGCGAAGGCGGCGAUCUGGGAAGAUACUGACGCUGAGGUGCGAAAGCGUGGGGAGCAAACAGGAUUAGAUACCCCAGUAGUCCCUGUCUCUUAUAC
RNAcentral lists this ribosomal RNA (301 nucleotides) under uncultured bacterium. Its description in RNAcentral is "partial 16S ribosomal RNA". It matches the Rfam family "Bacterial small subunit ribosomal RNA", at positions 509 to 807 of the family's 1533-position model. The record is from RNAcentral.